GCCUGUGUGGCUCAGUAGUUGAGCAUCUGCCUUUGGCUCAGGUCAUGAUCCCAGAGUCCUGGGAUCAAGUCCCACAACGGGCU
Molecule: transfer RNA, 83 nt
Filed under: Canis lupus familiaris (dog)
Lineage: Eukaryota; Metazoa; Chordata; Mammalia; Carnivora; Canidae
Also listed under: 1 other name
Rfam family: tRNA
About the family: Transfer RNA (tRNA) molecules are approximately 80 nucleotides in length. Their secondary structure includes four short double-helical elements and three loops (D, anti-codon, and T loops). Further hydrogen bonds mediate the characteristic L-shaped molecular structure. tRNAs have two regions of fundamental functional importance: the anti-codon, which is responsible for specific mRNA codon recognition, and the 3' end, to which the tRNAs corresponding amino acid is attached (by aminoacyl-tRNA synthetases). tRNAs cope with the degeneracy of the genetic code in two manners: having more than one tRNA (with a specific anti-codon) for a particular amino acid; and 'wobble' base-pairing, i.e. permitting non-standard base-pairing at the 3rd anti-codon position.
Source: Rfam by way of RNAcentral